AGAGUUUGAUCCUGGCUCAGGACGAACGCUGGCGGCGUGCCUAACACAUGCAAGUGGAGCGACGAACCGGACUUCGGUCCGGGGCCAAGCCGCGAACGGGUGAGUAACACGUGGGUAACCUGCCCUGAUGAUUGGGACAACCCGAGGAAACUCGGGCUAAUACCAAAUGUGCCCCUCGGUCUCAAGACCGUUGUGGGAAAGGAAGCUUCGGCCUCCGCAUCGGGAUGGGCCCGCGGCCCAUUAGCUUGUUGGUGAGGUAACGGCUCACCAAGGCGACGACGGGUAGCCGGCCUGAGAGGGCGACCGGCCACACUGGGACUGAGACACGGCCCAGACUCCUACGGGAGGCAGCAGUGGGGAAUAUUGCGCAAUGGGCGGAAGCCUGACGCAGCGACGCCGCGUGCGGGAUGAAGGCCUUCGGGUUGUAAACCGCUUUCAGCAGGGACGAAGCGUGAGUGACGGUACCUGCAGAAGAAGC
This 478-nucleotide ribosomal RNA is filed under the name uncultured bacterium. RNAcentral describes it as "bacterial SSU rRNA". It matches the Rfam family "Bacterial small subunit ribosomal RNA", at positions 8 to 491 of the family's 1533-position model. The record is from RNAcentral.